Molecule: ribosomal RNA, 1069 nt
Filed under: uncultured organism
Description: bacterial SSU rRNA
Rfam family: Bacterial small subunit ribosomal RNA
Source: RNAcentral
CAGGAUGAACGCUAGCGGCAGGCUUAACACAUGCAAGUCGAGGGGUAACGACUCCGUCUUCGGAUGGAGGUCGACGACCGGCGCACGGGUGAGUAACGCGUAUGCAACCUACCUUUUACAGGAGGAUAGCCCAGAGAAAUUUGGAUUAAUACUCCAUAGUACUAAUGAAUCACCUGGUUUAUUAGUUAAAACUCCGGUGGUAAAAGAUGGGCAUGCGUGUCAUUAGCUAGUUGGUAAGGUAACGGCUUACCAAGGCGAAGAUGACUAGGGGUUCCGAGAGGAAGAUCCCCCACACUGGUACUGAGACACGGACCAGACUCCUACGGGAGGCAGCAGUGAGGAAUAUUGGUCAAUGGGUGAGAGCCUGAACCAGCCAUGCCGCGUGAAGGAAGACUGCCCUAUGGGUUGUAAACUUCUUUUCUGCAGGAAGAAAUCACUCUACGUGUAGGGUGUUGCCGGUACUGCAGGAAUAAGCAUCGGCUAACUCCGUGCCAGCAGCCGCGGUAAUACGGAGGAUGCAAGCGUUAUCCGGAUUUAUUGGGUUUAAAGGGUGCGUAGGCGGGCUUGUAAGUCAGUGGUGAAAUGCUGUGGCUUAACCAUAGAAUUGCCAUUGAAACUGCAAGUCUUGAGUACAGUUGAGGUGGGCGGAAUGAGUAAUGUAGCGGUGAAAUGCCUAGAUAUUACUCAGAACUCCGAUUGCGUAGGCAGCUUGCUAAACUGUAAACUGACGCUGAUGCACGAAAGCGUGGGGAGCGAACCAGGAUUAGAUACCCUGGUAGUCCACGCUGUAAACCGAUGAGCACUGGGUUGUUGACAAUACACCGUCAGCGGACUGAGCGAAAGGUAUUAAGUGCUCACCUGCGGAGUACGUCGGCAACGAUGAAACUCCAAAGGGAAUUGACGGGGGCCCGCACAAGCGGAGGACCAUGUGGGUUUAUUCGAUGAUACGCGAGGAACCCUUUACCUGGGCUUACUGUUCAAGGCUUGCUUGGGAAACAGGCAUUUCUUCGGAACUCUUUCCAGGUGCUCCUGCGUGUCGCAGUCGUGCCGUAAGUGCCGGGUUAAGUCC